This 497-nucleotide ribosomal RNA is filed under the name uncultured bacterium. Its description in RNAcentral is "partial 16S ribosomal RNA". It matches the Rfam family "Bacterial small subunit ribosomal RNA", at positions 28 to 507 of the family's 1533-position model. The record is from RNAcentral.
GAUGAACGCUGGCGGCGUGCCUAAUACAUGCAAGUCGAGCGAACGGACGAGAAGCUUGCUUCUCUGAUGUUAGCGGCGGACGGGUGAGUAACACGUGGAUAACCUACCUAUAGGACUGGGAUAACUUCGGGAAACCGGAGCUAAUACCGGAUAAUAUUUUGAACCGCAUGGUUCAAAAGUGAAAGACGGUCUUGCUGUCACUUAUAGAUGGAUCCGCGCUGCAUUAGCUAGUUGGUAAGGUAACGGCUUACCAAGGCAACGAUGCAUAGCCGACCUGAGAGGGUGAUCGGCCACACUGGAACUGAGACACGGUCCAGACUCCCACGGGAGGCAGCAGUAGGGAAUCUUCCGCAAUGGGCGAAAGCCUGACGGAGCAACGCCGCGUGAGUGAUGAAGGUCUUCGGAUCGUAAAACUCUGUUAUUAGGGAAGAACAUAUGUGUAAGUAACUGUGCACAUCUUGACGGUACCUAAUCAGAAAGCCACGGCUAACUACGUG